GUGCUUACUUAGGCAGCACAUAUACUAAAAUUGGAACAAUACAGAGAUUAGCAUGGCCCCUGCACAAGAAUGAUACAUGAAUUUAUGAAGCAUUCCAUAUUUUU
This is a small nuclear RNA of Capra hircus (goat), 104 nucleotides long. NCBI's taxonomy places the organism in Eukaryota, Metazoa, Chordata, Mammalia, Artiodactyla, Bovidae. The record is from Ensembl.